RNAcentral lists this transfer RNA (84 nucleotides) under Candidatus Pacearchaeota archaeon. RNAcentral's name for it is "tRNA-Leu". It matches the Rfam family "tRNA". From Rfam's summary of the family: Transfer RNA (tRNA) molecules are approximately 80 nucleotides in length. Their secondary structure includes four short double-helical elements and three loops (D, anti-codon, and T loops). The record is from RNAcentral. Lineage: Archaea; Nanobdellati.
GCGGGAGUGCCGGAGUGGUCAAACGGGACAGGCUUAGGACCUGUUAGCUUAGUGCUUACGAGGGUUCGAAUCCUUUCUCCCGCA